GAUGAAGAACGUAGCGAAAUGCGAUACUUGGUGUGAAUUGCAGAAUCCCGUGAACCAUCGAGUCUUAGAACGCAAGUUGCGCCCGAAGCCACUAGGCCGAGGGCACGCCUGCCUGGGCGUCACACGCCGUUGCCCCCCCAUCUACUCCUUCGGGAUUGCGGGGGGGCGGAUGAUGGCCUCCCGUGCGCCUAGCCGCGCGGUUGGCAUAAAUACCAAGUCCUCGGCGACGCACGCCACGACAAUCGGUGGUUGCGAAACCUCGGUUGCCCGUCGUGUGCGUUCGUCGCGCAUCGAGGGCUCGAAAAAAUGCUCGGCUCCGGCUGGGCUUUCAACGCGACCCCAGGUCAGGCGGGGUUACCCGCUGAAUUUAAGCAUAUCAAUAAGCGGAGGA
This 391-nucleotide unclassified non-coding RNA is filed under the name soil metagenome. Its description in RNAcentral is "partial contains 5.8S ribosomal RNA, internal transcribed spacer 2, and large subunit ribosomal RNA". The stretch from base 1 to 122 matches the Rfam family "5.8S ribosomal RNA", at positions 35 to 154 of the family's 154-position model. The record is from RNAcentral.